GUAACGUGUAAAAAUUUCCGGAGACUCCGUUGAUGGAAUCUUUCAAGGAGUUGGAGAUGGCGUUUAUAAGUGGUCCAUAUUUCACAAGCAUUCAAUAAGGUUGGUAGUACAAUAGCUUUGUAAACAAGCAUUUUGGUAAUACACACAUCACUGUGGUAAAAGCAUACUGGGAACUCAGUUAUACAGCUGCAAAUAAAACUUUUUUAAUGCAUUGUAAAGUGCAAUGUACACAUGGGACACUAGAUGGCGAGAGUGAGCCACACCAAAUCCAAUGUGUUUUUCAAAAUGUUUUUUAGAAAAGCAUUUCCGCAGCAUUUUUCUAUACAUGUAUAGAUCCCAACGGAAUUUCUUGCGGGAAAAAUUAAGGAACCGAAUGAGGUUUUUUUAGUCUUCAGGACCUUCCAUCCAGAUUCUUAUUACACGCUCCUUCAUUUUUUAAAACGCAAACGAGACUCCCUUCAGUCCGAGACUGGUUACCUUGCAUGCCAAAAAGUCCAUCAUUUCAUCUGAAAUGCAUGUCAGUAUUUUUGGUAAACAGACACUAUGGAUCUCAACAAUGAGCAAGGCCACCUGUCUGGAGUUAAAGAGAAAAUCCUUGAGGUCUUGUUUUUGGCCAGGAGGCAACAUUAACCACCUGGCUAUGCAUAUGUCUAAGCGCACUUGCGGGACUAGGUCUGUGUGAUCUUCAUGUCUUUUUAGAUUUAUUUUAACAAACAGCAUGCAGUGCCAAAACAAAAACUGCCCAUUUAGCAUUGCCCGUAGAAAUGACUAUGGACUUGGCAGGUAUUGUGGAAUUUAUUGUGUGUGCACCUCCGACGUGUGAGGGGGGCGGCUAGGACAGGAGUGAAUGAACAAGCUGAGUUUUAUCUGUGUUUUUGAAGUUUAGCGGUGUAAAAAAACAACAACGGGGUGACGUUUUAAAUGUGGCACCCUCACAAAAUAUCGUGGCACAGGCAGUACGGCAGACCCUCCAAGUGCCCCUAUUUUCCAGAGACAUCCCUGAUUUAGAGAAGCCAUCCCGGUUUCUUAUUUGAUUCCGGAAUGUCCCACUUUUCCUUAGGAUGUCUCUAUUUUCAUUGGAGAAAUGUUGGAGGGUAUGGAGUUAUCUGAUCCCCGAGCCGUCUAAAGGCAAUCCUGUAUAGGGAAGCUUUUUAAAUGUUUUAUAUUUUAUUAUGUUUUUAUGUAUGUUGGAAGCCACCCUGAGUGGCUGGGACAACCCAGUAAGAUGUGUGGGGUAUAAAUAGUAAAAUUAUCAAUUUUGAAACAGGACCUCCCUAUUUUCAUCGGAGAAAUGUUGGAGGGUAUGGUAUCUGCCCCUGCGUACACUUUGCCCAGCCUAGGUGCAGGUUUCAAACUACUCGGCUUACUG
This is a non-coding RNA of Podarcis lilfordi (Lilford's wall lizard), 1369 nucleotides long. The record is from the annotation of a GenBank genome assembly. Lineage: Eukaryota; Metazoa; Chordata; Lepidosauria; Squamata; Lacertidae.